GGAUCCAGGGUAGUUUACCUGAUUUCCGGAACUCACUCAAAUUUUUUCCGACCUAGUUAAAUGUUGAUAAAAGUACUUUUGGAAAACACUCUAAUUUCCCUUUGGAAACUACUGAUACUUUUGUGGAAAUCACUAAACGUCUUCCAGAAAUAAACCAUCUUCCUGUUUUACAGUUAUUUAUUAAAGAAAAUACGUUUAGAAUGACUAAUUUCGUUAUAAUUGCGGUCAUGAGGCGUUCGGGAGCGCUCCGGAUCACGCGCUGGCCUUUCGAGCUUCGAUUACACCUCGGAAACCGUCGGAAGCCGUCGGAAAAUGUUCGUGGAGCCAAUCUUUACGCAACCGGUGGGUGUAAGUCCUUGUUAUUUGGUGACAAUAACAGGCGGAACACAGUCAAAACCCCUCACGAUUGGCUAGCAAAGAUUUCGUCAUCGGAACUCACUCAAAACACUCUUCUGAUUGGCUAGUUGUGUUUGGAAACUACCUUGGAAACUACUGACAAAGUAUAAAAAGGGCAGUUCCUCCCCCAGCGGGUCUCUUUCGUUGCUCCUACAAUACAAGUACUUUUGAACUUGCUCAGGGGUUAACGACGGAAUUUACUGUUAAAACGUUUAAAAAAUACUAGUGUUAUGACUCGCGGAGAUCCUGUUUGUCGGAGGGAGGAUUGUUCUCCCUUCGACAUUGGCCUAGUUUUCGACGAGAUCCACAACUACUCGCCGCAUCAGAAGCUGGAGUUCGUCGAAAACGUGUGGAAACCAGGAAGCAGUGACCAUUGCAAGACAAGUAGCAGUCCAGCCAGAAAUGCCAAGGAUAGCCCAGAGACAAAUGCAUAGAAAUAAUGCUCCUGCUGCAACUCCUGAGGGAUAUUUCAAGAUCAAUCUCACUAGAGUUUUUCUUGACCAUGUACUCCAGCAGCUCAACACCAGAUUCCAGGAUGAUGUAUUUGUUUGCUAUAAAGGUAUUUCGAUUAUUCCCUCUGUUUUACUAGCUACUGACCCUGCCUGGAAGGCCAAUGUUUUGGAAUUUUGUAACCAUUACAGACAGGACAUACCAAAUUAUGCAGGAUUACAGGCAGAGCUUUUGUUAUGGGAGAGAUUGUGGAAGGGGAGGGAUAACAGAGGAGAUAUUAUUCCUGACAGUUUGGAGGCUACACUGAAGGAUAUUGACAAAGAUGCAUAUGUCAACAUCUAUUCCAUGCUGAAAGUCCUGAUCACAAUUCCAAUUUCACCUGCAUCUUGUGAGAGAUCCAUAUCAUCCCUUCGGAAUCUUAAGAACUAUUUGAGAAAUACAAUGACCCAGGACAGACUGAAUGGAUUGGCACUGAUGCAUGCCCGUGGAUUUUUGACCUUGAACGUAUAAUAGAUUUAUUUGCUGAGUUACAUCCUAGGAGAAUGAGAAUGGCAAACAUUUUGUAAUAAUUUUUUGCACCAGCUGUUUCUAGAGUACUUGUGAGUUAUGUUCUGCCUGGGUUAUGGCCUUUAAGUCUCAUAAUCCUUAAACUGAUGGAGAACAGUACAGAAGCUCAAACUGGUGCCUGUAUAACUUUUUUCAACUCAUUUCAAGGUUAUUUUCUAUUUUGUUUUACUUGUGAUGAUUUUCCAUUGACAUUGACAUUGGGUUUUCAUGUUAAGCUUAAAUGGUUAACAAACAUUUUCACUGAACUCAACCAGCUUCACAGCAAUUCCCAAGGAUGAAGAAAGGCUAGUAUUAUUUCAAAUUAUCAUUUUACUUCAAUUUGUAUAUCAUUUUAUGAUUCUUAUAAUUUAUAUUUUUCUAAUAAUUGUUUUAUUUUUUGAAUUCCAGCUCCCAACACAGGCUAACCAUCCAUAAAGCCCUUCUCUCUCUCUCAAAUUCUUUUCUGUGUUGUGCUCCUAUAAAUGAAAUGAAUAAAAGCCAGCUCAGGAAAUGUUGUUUUUAAUGUUGCUAAACAUUUGGAUUUAUUGAGCCUGGCUUUCAUUCAUUUCAUUCAUUAUAGGAGCACAACACAGAAGAAAUUUGAGAGAGAGAAGGGCUUUAUGGAUGGUAAGCCUGUGGUCCCAAGGAUGAAAAAGGCAAGUAGAUUUUUAUUAUCAAUCUUUAAACUAUAUCAUCAAUUGUGCUUGUUUUUCUUUUGUUAUCAAAAACACUAACACUUGGUUCGUUUUUUUUUCUCCACAUCUUGAUUUUCCUGACUGGGAGGUGAUGUUUUCCAGUGUGAAAAGUCUUGGUGAUGACUUGGCCUUCCUGAAAACACUAUAUACACUGGUUUGCACAGUAGCUAAAGGUGGAAUAUUUGUAGAUCAGAGUGUUUCCUGUAGUACUUUCAAGAAAAAUAAAUGUUUUUUGCCUUUUUGAUUA
This is a non-coding RNA of Pocillopora verrucosa, 2334 nucleotides long. Lineage: Eukaryota; Metazoa; Cnidaria; Anthozoa; Scleractinia; Pocilloporidae. The record is from RefSeq and is a predicted model, not a curated record.